GACGAACGCUGGCGGCGUGCCUAAUACAUGCAAGUUGAGCGCUGAAGGUUGGUACUUGUACCAACUGGAUGAGCAGCGCACGGGUGAGUAACGCGUGGGGAAUCUGCCUUUGAGCGGGGGACAACAUUUGGAAACGAAUGCUAAUACCGCAUAAAAACUUUAAACACAAGUUUUAAGUUUGAAAGGUGCAAUUGCAUCACUCAAAGAUGAUCCCGCGUUGUAUUAGCUAGUUGGUGAGGUAAAGGCUCACCAAGGCGAUGAUACAUAGCCGACCUGAGAGGGUGAUCGGCCACAUUGAGACUGAGACACGGCCCAAACGCCUACGGGAGGAAGCAGUAGGGAAUCUUCGGCAAGAGACGAAAGUCAGACCGGGCAACGCCGCGUGAGUGAAGAAGGUUUUCGGCUCGUAAAACUCUGUUGGUAGAGAAGAACGUUGGUGAGAGUGGAAAGCUCAUCAAGUGACGGUAACUACCCAGAAAGGGACGGCUAACUACGUG
RNAcentral lists this ribosomal RNA (497 nucleotides) under uncultured bacterium. RNAcentral's name for it is "partial 16S ribosomal RNA". It matches the Rfam family "Bacterial small subunit ribosomal RNA", at positions 28 to 507 of the family's 1533-position model. The record is from RNAcentral.